RNAcentral lists this ribosomal RNA (435 nucleotides) under uncultured bacterium. Its description in RNAcentral is "partial 16S ribosomal RNA". It matches the Rfam family "Bacterial small subunit ribosomal RNA", at positions 29 to 507 of the family's 1533-position model. The record is from RNAcentral.
AGCGAACGCUGGCGGCAGGCUUAACACAUGCAAGUCGAACGGGCUUCUUCGGAAGUCAGUGGCAGACGGGUGAGUAACACGUGGGAACGUGCCCUUCGGUUCGGAAUAACUCAGGGAAACUUGAGCUAAUACCGGAUACGCCCUUUUGGGGAAAGGUUGACUGCCGAAGGAUCGGCCCGCGUCUGAUUAGCUUGUUGGUGGGGUAACGGCCUACCAAGGCGACGAUCAGUAGCUGGUCUGAGAGGAUGAUCAGCCACACUGGGACUGAGACACGGCCCAGACUCCUACGGGAGGAAGCAGUGGGGAAUAUUGGACAAUGGGCGCAAGCCUGAUCCAGCCAUGCCGCGUGAGUGAUGAAGGCCUUAGGGUUGUAAAGCUCUUUUGUCCGGGACGAUAAUGACGGUACCGGAAGAAUAAGCCCCGGCUAACUUCGUG